UACGUAGGGGGCGAGCGUUGUCCGGAAUCAUUGGGCGUAAAGCGCGUGUAGGCGGCCCGGUAAGUCCGCUGUGAAAGUCCAGGGCUCAACCCUGGGAUGCCGGUGGAUACUGUCGGGCUCGAGUCCGGAAGAGGCGAGUGGAAUUCCUGGUGUAGCGGUGAAAUGCGCAGAUAUCAGGAGGAACACCAAUGGCGAAGGCGGCUCGCUGGGACGUGACUGACGCUGAGACGCGAAAGCGUGGGGAGCAAACAGG
Molecule: ribosomal RNA, 253 nt
Filed under: uncultured bacterium
Lineage: Bacteria
Description: partial 16S ribosomal RNA
Rfam family: Bacterial small subunit ribosomal RNA
Source: RNAcentral